AUUUUACAAUGGUCCAUCAUCCAAAGAAUAUCAUGCGUUGCUGCUUCUUCGUACUACUUUCCUUUUCGAUUGGUCAUUUUUGGUUUUGAGAUUGCAGAAAAUAAGUACUAAUAUUAGAGAAGCAAGUCACAAAUAUAUAUUAUUGGUGUCUAUUCCCACCUCUACCUGCCAAAACAAAAUUAAAACACAAACUGCCCCAAGUGGAUAUUUCCAGGAUGUGUGGCCAUUAUUUCAUUAAAGGCCCAAGGUUCUUACUCUAGGAACUCUUGAUUAUAUGUAAAUUGAUAAGUGAGAUAGUUCAUCGUCUUUGCAGGUUAACAUGCAUAUAUGCUGCUUGUAAGGCAGAGGAGCUUGACAAAGGGAUCGAACAGGAUCAUCAUAUGAUUCUUGAUAAUGAAAUGCUGGUUUUUCAGGCAUGAAUGUCACAUAGUAAGCUUCGAUUCUUUUUAAUUUUUUAAUCGAUUGAUAUUGUUUUCUAUCUCUGCAUUCGAUCUUGUAGUUUAUUCUCCAUAUCGACCACUUCAAGGCUGAUAUGCAGGAAUUUGGUGAUGCAAGUGAGAGGCAGUCUGAGAUAUGAAGGUGCCUUUUGUUAAAGUUCAUUUCUCAUUAUAAGACUACAUUUCUGGUGUUUCAGUUAUACCCUAUGAUCUGGUUUAAUUCAAAAGUGAUUAGAGCAAAUUCUAUAGGUUGAAUUACGUUGACCUUUUGCAUUAUAUAUUCCAAUUAUCAUCUCUUAUAUGCCCGUCUUUUUUUCAUGUCCCAUUUAUGAUGUUUAACACCUAAAUCUAUUAUAUUUUUCUGCAUGUUUUCCAUGAAUCUGCCAAAGCUGAGGUUGAUAGAAUUAUGCGUACGAAAGCCCCCCUUCUAUGCCCACCAGGGCCGGUACAGUUCGAAACUAUACUUUGUGAUCUUUUAUAGACUUCUUAGUGUUAGCUUAAGACAAAGUAUCAAAUUGGCAAAACUAUUGUUGCUCUGAUUCAUUGUCAUAUACUACCAAAAUUUGAUAAUGUGUAAAAUGAUUAGUAUUUCAUACUAGCAUUUAGCACCACACCCCCCUUGAGAUAUGUGAAGAAGCAUAGCUUCACAUUCCUGUAUCACUGAAUGAGCACAGCCACAGAUAGAUGAUUUACCUAUUGUAUCAAAUUAGGCAUGGGCAAUUAGUAGCAUCCUGAACAAAAUGACCUUUCAGUACAUAUUCAUGUUACCAAUUAUCCUUUGAUUCCCCCAAACCUGAGGUGUUGAAUCUUUAAAAAAUUUCUCCAACUUUCAACACAAUUUCAACCUUGUGCAUCAAAUUGCAUCCGAGAGGUUAUUUUGCUUGUGGUUUGGCUAUGAUCACACUGGUUCACCUUCGCAUUUGCAGCUUUAAGAAGAUAAAGCUAUCGACUUCGAGAGGUUCAAAACCUCCAAGCCUGGAUAAAUUAUGCCAGUUAUGAAUGCAAAUUUAUCCUUGGAAAUAAUUCUUUGACAGAUUACUGAAAAACGUGCUCUCUCGGAAGCAUCCAGCUCAUAGCAUUUCAGAGCUCUGCCUUAACAACAUGAAUGCAAUUGAUGGGCGGGUAUAAUAUUUCCUUUCAUUUUGUUGCAAUAUCAUAACUUGAUAGAUGUAGCUGGCCGUGCUUUACCUGCUGAGUUGCUUUGGAUGCUAUUUUAGUUUACAGAUUAGCAAGCUUGAGACCCCUAUGCCGAAAGAUGUAAAGCACAUUGAUACUAAACUUAAAUCAUGCUUGGAUCCAACUUCAUAUGAGAAGUACAUACCAUAAACUUAUCUCUCCAUGUAAAACAUGUUUCUGGAAACUCUGGUCUUAUCGACAACAACAGGGGAAGCCGAUACAACAUUAGCCAGCAGGGAUGUAGUUUCAGCAAGAUGCUAGAGUGAAGCUUAGAGCCGCAUUGCUUGAAGAGAAUCUGAGAAUGAUUCUGUGAAGCUCAUAGUUGAUAGAGAUAAUUUUGUAUUGUUCAAUUUCCUCGUCACCAAAUUUGGGUUUGGCUAGUCUUCACAACUUUGCAUAACAGGUUUAAAAUAUUGGUACAUGUGAAAAAUGGUGCAUUUAUUCCAUGCCAUCAAUUUGAAUUACUAUAUCAAAACAAUGUACUCAUAUAGUAUAUAUUUAUAUGUUAAUAAAUCGUCGCCACUUUUCAUUUGUAUUGCUAGAAAACGUCCAGAAGCAUUGUACCAUGAGCAGGCAAAUGCGGUUAUGCAGGAAAAGAAAAUGAACUCUUGUUUCUACCAAAAGGGACUGACUUAACCGAUUCUAGCACAUACCGAUGUAGUUUUACAGAUUUUGGACAAUCCCUUUCCAUGUUUUUUCGCCCGUUGCUUGACAAGGUGUAUGUUUUAGCUGUGUUUCUUGCAUCCUAUGUACCUCUGAAACUAGCUUCUUUUUAUUGUAUCAACUUUUCUUACAUAGAGAAAAGAAAGGUUCAACAAGAUAGACAAGGAAACAGGAAAAGAAUGUGAUCUUGCAUUAAACAUAAAUAUGCGUAUACAUAUCAUGGAUUUCUAGAGACGAAGAGAGGUAUCAACAUCAGAAAUUUCAAAGAAACUGUGAGGCCCUCUAACAGUUUGUUGGCGUCGGAAAUGUGGCGUGUCAUGAUUAUGGGAGGCAGAGUUGAGCCCAAGUGCUAGAGGGUCUUGACAAGCAGCGUUGUUUGAAGACAAAGUUGAAAAUCUCGUGACUGAAAGGUCAUGGCGAAGAUUGGUUUCUUGAGGCAUUAGUCUGAGAUUCUGUGUCUCUUCUCUCAUCUCCUUCAAUCUCUGCAGCUGCUUAAACCUUUCUUGAAGUAGCACUAUUGAUGAACCAACUAUUGCUGGAUCCUUGUGUUGCCUCCCCAUUCUCUCUCUCUCUUGCAUGGUGUGUGUUUAUGUAUGAUAGUGUAUAUAUAAGAGAGGGGUGUUAUUGUUUUUGCCACUGGUUUUGGAGGUUAUUAAUCAGCCUCUUGAUUGAUUCUAGUGUGACGAAAUGAAGGGGAGAAUCGGGCGACUGCGCAGUAAAGUCCAAGAAGGAAAUGCUUGAGAGAGUAGUGAAAUAAUCUAGAGAGAGGGAGAGAAGUUGGUGAAGGGAAAAGGGGUUGAAAGGUAUGGCUAAAUGUUGAGGGGAUGAGGCCAAAUGGGAAUGUAUAUAGUAGUUGGAGGGAUAUGUUUAUUGGAAUAUGAGGUUGUGUGUCGGCUUGUUUUGAGCAUUCUAACUAUGUCAUCAUUGAUGGUUCCAUUCUUGUUGUUAUCUUGAGUCAUCAAUGAUGAUUUUGAUUAAUUUAAUAGGUUAGUACAACAAUUUGUACAGUGUAAUAACUUUGAAACAUAACAAAAUUCGCCAUUUGAUUCUUUAUCUUGAA
Long non-coding RNA from Salvia splendens (bonfire salvia), 3336 nucleotides. RefSeq lists it as uncharacterized. The record is from RefSeq and is a predicted model, not a curated record. Lineage: Eukaryota; Viridiplantae; Streptophyta; Magnoliopsida; Lamiales; Lamiaceae. The transcript has 3 exons.